This 838-nucleotide ribosomal RNA is filed under the name uncultured bacterium. Its description in RNAcentral is "bacterial SSU rRNA". It matches the Rfam family "Bacterial small subunit ribosomal RNA", at positions 524 to 1381 of the family's 1533-position model. The record is from RNAcentral.
UACGAGGGAUGCAAGCGUUAUCCGGAAUUAUUGGGCGUAAAGCGUUUGUAGGCGGGCGAGUGUGUUUAAUGUUAAAUCUUAAAGCUCAACUUUGAAAUUGCGUUAAAAACUGCUUGUCUUGAGUAUGGUAGGGGUAAAGGGAAUUCCCAGUGUAGCGGUGAAAUGCGUAGAUAUCGGGAAGAACACUAAACAGCGAAGGCACUUUACUAGGCUAAUACUGACGCUGAGAAACGAAAGGUAAGGUAGCGAAACGGAUUAGAUACCCGUGUAGUCUUACCCGUAAACUAUGGACACUAAACGGUAAAUUUUUAAUUUACUGUUAAAGCUAACGCGUUAAGUGUCCCGCCUGGGGAGUAUGCUUGCAAAAGUGAAACUCAAAGGAAUUGACGGGGGCCCGCACAAGCGGUGGAGCAUGUGGUUUAAUUCGACGGUACACGAAGAACCUUACCAGGAUUUGACAUGCUAGAUAGUUGCUUGAAAGAGUAACGUGCCGUAAGGAAUCUAGACACAGGUGGUGCAUGGCUGUCGUCAGUUCGUGUUGUGAAAUGUUGGGUUAAGUCCCGCAACGAACGCAACCCUUGUCUUUAGUUAUUUUCUAAAGAGACUGCCUGUAAUAAACAGGAGGAAGGUAAGGAUGAGGUCAAGUCAUCAUGCCCCUUAUGUCCUGGGCUACACACGUGCUACAAUGGGAAAGACAAUGAGCUGCAAAUCUGUAAAUUUAAGCAAAUCUCUUAAACUUUCUCGUAGUUCGGAUUGUGGGCUGCAACUCGCCCACAUGAAAUUGGAAUCGCUAGUAAUCGCCAGUCAGCUAUAUGGCGGUGAAUCCGUUCCCGGGCCU